ACCACUAAGGUCCGCGGGCCUCCGGCAGGCACGCCAGUCAGCACUGGCAGCACAGCUCAGACUCCUGAAAGCAAAGGUUCGAGACUAUUCUUAGAAAAGAGAUGAGGGCUGGGGUGUAACUCAGUAGUAGUGUGAUUGCUUAACUUGCCUGAAGCCCUGGGUUUGAUUCCCCAGCACCCAACAUAAGUGUGGCGCCCAUGCCUGCAAUGCCAGCUCCUGGGGAGGCAGAGGCAGAAGUAGGUCAUCCUGUGCUGCACUGCAAGGUCGCAAGGUCACAAGGUCGAGGCCAGCCAGGGCUUCCCCAGUCCCAGGCUCAGGAAAGUUUAAAGAAAAAUCAACACAACACAGGGGGUUGCAAAGAGUGCUCAGAGGGCAGUGGCAGAAGCCAGGUCCUCUACCCACUGCUCCCUCUUCCCCAGAAUGAGGCCACACCCCUCAGUCUCUCAAGGCCAGCUUCAGAGAGCUGCUGUGACCUCACAGCUCUCAGAGUUCCAUUCUCUCUAAGCCCCCUACAGCGCCAAGCCCAGACACUGAUGCCCAGACAACCUUGACUUAUAACUCCACUUUUAUCUAGUUCCUUCCUGUCUUGUGACUCACACCACAUAGGCUAGCUAGGUCAUGUGAUAUGGAUCUUAUCACCCUCCCCCCAAAAAACUUGUAAAACGCCCCCUUUCUCUCCCUUCAGGGUCCCCAUCAUGCUGUACCUGGUGGCUCUCUUUCCUUAUGCUCUCCUGCUUCAGGCCCCAUCGUGGGAGCCUCUGCUCGUGAGCCUGUAGCUCUCCCUAAUAAAGCUCUAUGAAGGGUGAUUCGCUUCAGCCUGUGUUUGCUAUGACCUUGAUUUUGUCUGUUAUUAUACAGCAGAAAGCUUGUCUCUAAGAGUUACUAGAGGGAACUCAAGGCUCUCUGAAAAAUACCUUUAAAGCCAGACACUGUAGCUGUGCCUGUCAGGUCAGCACUUAGGAGAUGGAGCCAGGAGGAUCAUCAAGACUUCAUGGGUCUCCUCAUCUACAGGCCAGCCUGGGCCACAUGAAUCCCAGCGUCAUAAAAACCAACCUGGAAACUGUCCACCACAAGAAUUUUGAGCAGGGGGCCGUCAGCCAUGAAACCCUUUUGCUGGCGAGUGGCUACACUGUUGACAUCACAACCCUGUCACCUUAGAUUAUUAGCGUCACUUUCACAGCAGCUGCAGAGGACCACCAGGACAGCCAGCCCAGGAAAUCAGCUCUCUUGGCCAGAGACAUGACCCUGGCCAUCCUAAUAGCCAACCUAUGACUGAUGUAACCUUCAUCCUUGAAUGACAGACUGUGUCUUUGAUGUAAUACCCUUGUCAUACACUAUGGUGUAUAAGCUUUCUUUUUUUUUUUUUUUUUAAGUUUUGAGACAAGGUCUGGACUCAAAGCUGGUAUGUAGCCAGGGUUAUGAUUUUUUUAAUGAUUUAUUUCCAUGUGCAUUGUUUUAUCUGUAUGUAUGUCUGCAUGAGGGUGGCAGAUCCCCUGGAAUAGAGCUAAUGACAGUUGUGAGCUGCCAUGUGGGUGCUGGGAAUUGAACCAGCAGCCAGUGCUGUCAAUCUCAGAGCUCUCUCUCCAGCCCCUUGAUUUACAGUUUGAACUCCUGAUGCUCCUGCUUUAACCUCUAGACUGGGGCUGUGGGUGAAUGUCUCCCUGCUUCCUUUUGAUCGACUUAUUUGAAACAGUGUUUCACUUUGUAUCCUAGGCUGCUAGGGAACUCCCAGCAGUAUUCUGCCUCUUCUUCCGGAGUGCUGGGCUUGGUUGGAUGUGUGUCCACUGUCAUCCUUGACUUACUUUCUGUAUCUUAGGUUGUUUUCACAUCUUCCCAAGCUUUCUGGCUUGAGUAGUGCCUCUUACCCCUGCCAGGGUCACUGUUUCUUGGAGUAAAAUUGGUGCCAACCGGGAGCAUGUCUUUCAAAUACAAACCAAUGCAGAAUCUGCAAUGGAAUUAAUUUAUUGUGUAAUCUACAACAAUGGGUUCGCAACUUGUGUUUGAAGCCAGUGCAGCCUAGCCGGCAUAGGGUGCAAUAUAGGAAAUGUUAGCCGCUGGUCUUUUCUAUCAAAUACUGUGAAGCUGAUGACAAAGCUCAGACUUUUUAUAUCCCUCCACCUUGUAAGAUUUUUAUGCAAAUAUUUUAAUCCCUUCCCAACCUGGUAAAACCUUUGUUACACAAAGAAAACUGAUUUAAGAGGC
RNAcentral lists this long non-coding RNA (2202 nucleotides) under Mus caroli (Ryukyu mouse). RNAcentral describes it as "lncRNA (MGP_CAROLIEiJ_G0006237.1)". Lineage: Eukaryota; Metazoa; Chordata; Mammalia; Rodentia; Muridae. The record is from RNAcentral.